CAUGUGCUGCUGUGUUAGAAGGAGGUGGGGUUGCAACAUGUCCCUGGGCUUGGGGUCUGUGCAGUGCGCUCACCAAGCAGAUGCAGAAACAGACCAAAGCUCCGCUCGCUUCCUCGGGGGAAAGCAAACACAAGCAGGCUAACUACUUGCCUUUAAAGCUCCCUGGCUCUCUUGCCUGACAUAGCAAGCUGAGUGUUACACAGCACCCUGCUCAGUAACAGCACUUGGAGGGAAAGCAAAACUGGAAUAAAGAAGAUGUGUGAGAAGAAAAGGAGACCUGUUAGUCACUGCCUUCAGUUCUCCUGUCCUCAUCUCCACCAGGUUGCAGGGGGCUGCAGACAUCACCACGAGCUGAAGCUCUCCCAGGAGCUGACCAGCAAGCCCCCCUCUAUCAGUGUCCUCCAGCACGUCCCCAGCUGGCACAGCCUCUGCUGCUCCUUCUGGUUUGCUUUCCCCAGCCUCCUCCCUUCAUCUGUAAGGAAAUGAUCAGAGAGGAGAAAGACGACGCAGUGUUUCCAAGUUCGAAAUUAACUUAAACUGGGUGGAAAUUUAAUCCUUUCUCUCCAGAGAUAAACGGAGGAGGAGGCUGUGGACAGUUGCAGUCUUCAAUUGAAAUAUUUAGCAGCAGCACAGGAAGCUACUGUUUCCACCAUGACAGAUUACAGACGAGAGCGCCUAAUCUCUGAUCUGCUACGCUAAAAAACAAUUAUUGUCUUCCCUCCCAGGGAGAGCCUUAUCUUUUCCUGGCUACAUAAUUUCAGAUGUCAGCUGGAAUUUCUGCAUUAUCUCGGCGGAUCACGCUGGCUCUUCACGUAUCCUACAUUUCAACCUCCUCCCCCGUUGGCCUUGGGCUGAUCUGGAUCUGGAGUUUGUCUGGUAUCAAUACCACACUUAGCUGCCCGUCUGCCAGUGCAGAGAGAAACACUGAGCCUGUUCUCCUCCAGCAUCUUUCAUAUCUAACCCCGUGACUGAGCAGUGAAGUAUUACAAACAAGCACUGACGGCGCAUCCAGUGGGACAGCACAGGUGCAACUCAGCCUGCUUUCCUCCCUCCUCUCCCGACCUCUGAAGACACUCCUGAAUCUGAAAUCCUGAUCUGAAGAUCCUCCUCCCACCUCCGGUCAAAGAGAGCUGUUCCUACACACUCGGCGGUGCUGAGUGCUCCCCCAGCCCCAGCUCCCCUCUCCCCUUACUUUUGGUUGCAAUUUAUACCGUCCUAGAGGUGAGGUUAUGCUGAAGAGCAGCAGAUGCUAUAUACCCAUUGGCUUGCUCAGAGGAUGACCGUGCUUGCUGUGAUGUUAGACGAGCUGAGGGGGUACGUUGGGCAGGGCUAUGUGGAGGCUAGCAGGGGAGGACAAAUACACCAAAUUUGACAAUAGAAGGAACUGACCAGAAGGCACUGACCAAGGCUCUUUAGAAAGCAAGAGUCAUGACCAGAAUUAACAGGAAAAGAUUUUAGCUCUGAAGAGAGCUCAGACAAAAAAACUCGAUACACAAAGAUGUACCUGGAUGCAAUAAAUACGCAUCCUUUCAUCCUUUCCAUGCUCACUGAAGUCAGGCACGACAAACAUGCCCGUCGGUGCGCUCCCCUUGCACAGGACAGCCAGAUACGGGGAACCAAACCUGCAUCUUCUUCCUGCAUCACCUGCUGACACAAUUUCACACUCACCUGCCAGGCUGUAGCUGUGACUUUUAUGGAGGACUGUCUCACAGGGUUCUCCAGAUUGGCCCUUGUCACAGCAUCUCUUACCCCUCACAACUUCUCUCCCUCUUUUUCAGUUUGUCUCCCCUUGACAGCAACGUAGGCUGCUCUAACUGCCCAGACCUUCGUUACUUAAUUCUGGGGAAGCCAUAAAGGAACAGAUAAAUUUCCAAGGCCAGCUUAGACUGCAACGCAGGAUGACUCAAUAAAGUAACAUCUCCCACAUCGACACCUACACUUUGCCCUCACAGACUGCUGCAUCCUUCACCUUUCUCAUUGUCUCAGUUUUCUUCAUCAGUAACACUUUGCAUUUCUUGAGCAUUUUCCACCUAGAGAUCACGUACACAGCUGCAGACAGACAUGAAUGAAGCUGCUCAGCAUCCCACAGAUUCAGAAGAAACAGAGAACCAAUAGUUUUAAAACUUGCAAGCUAUAGAGCAAAGGUUCCCCCCCAAAAUGUUAAAGCAGGCUCUGUGAGUGGUCUCAAAGGAGCAAGUCUCUGCCCUGCUCUGGUUUUUAUACUGGUGAGCUUUCCUAGGGGCACAUGAGGAGGGUCUGAAAAUCCCUCCUAAGUGCAGCUGGGGCUGUGUUAAUGGCAUGGCAAUGACGAAGGAGGAGACAAUCCCCCGAAUGCCAGUGUGGAAACUGCACGGAUACCCAGAGACAGAGAUGCUGGUUCAGCUGACAGUGGGUCUUGUUAUCCGUCUGCCUUGGGAGACUUUCUCUGCCAGGAGUUCUACCUCAAAAUUCCCCAAGUGGUACUUCUACCAGCCCAAGCCCUUAAAAUCACACAAGCAAAAUUCCCCCGCAUAUCCGCACCCCAGGCAAUCACUGGUAAAAAACACUGUUGCUUUUAGUUUUCAGACUUAGCCUACUGCUCCUUCUCCUAUGCAAUGGUAAACAGCAUUCCAGUGGUUUGACCUUUCUGGCAGAACUGAUGUCAGCACAAGAAAACAAUAAUAUUUCUUACCCCUGCUGUUCAGAACACACUUAAAAUGAACAGGAAAAAAAAAAAAAAAAGUAAGAUUAAAAAAAAAAAAAAGAAAGCCAGCCUCUUCAGGCUUUGUACUGUCCAAUCUAUAUUGGAUGUUGUCUGUCCGUCCCUGUGAGGACCGACUGCCACGGCUGUGGCAACCCUGGACCAUCUGGUGAAGGCAUCACCAAGUUCAUCAAACUAACAUCAACUCUGAAUGUGCUGUACUGUCUGUAAGGAGAAGAGACCCAUGCUCUACCUGCAAAAUACAAAAAUACCUAGGAAGACUGCAAAAACUCACAUCUCCACAAGAUGCAUUAAAAGAGCACUUUGUUGACUUGGUUUGGUUUUGGGAAGCUCUCGGCACAGCGCACAGCCCCAGUACACCCAGCAGGAUCAGCUAGCCAUGUUCAAUCGUGUGGAACCACAUUCGGCUGAGACGAUCUGACCUGCCUUCCCUCUUGGGAUUUCAGCGCUGGCCCUUGUUGUGCUGAAAGCUUUGCACCACGCAGCACAGAGGCACACCUGAGAACAGUGCGUUUGGACACCAAUUGUAUCCCAGCCUCCAGAAAGUAAGGGGGAAAACAAAUUGCCCAUCAUAACACGGUCUCUGAACCAUGUAGAUACACACACACACGCUCAGGAAGUUUCACUCCCACCUCCCAAGGCAGCAGUGUGUUACACACCUAUAGGUUACACACCUAUCCCGGUGCUUGUGGCACAUGCCUGCUGGGCAGAGCAGCCCACCCGCACCAGAUGAGAUGUCACCGCCGUCCUGAGGGAAAAUGGAAGAGGCUGCAAACAACUGCACAGACUUCUUCCCUUGGCACUGGCAGACACACUUGUGGCCCAGCAUCCCUCAGCACGUGUCAGUGCGAGGCAAAGGCGCUGCCCCAGCAGGGCCCAGCACUGUGACUGCUGGGCUGCACUGCUGGGGGAGAUGGGGAAAGCUGCACAGCAUUUGGCAACACCACGUUUGUUGGAGCUGGUGUGAUUAGCACUUCUUUUUCUUAACCUGCCUUUUCCUCAGAAGUGUGAAUAAUCAGAGGCUGGAGGGAUUUUCUGGUCUUUGCUUUCUGCUUGGAUGAUACAGGGGCUCAGCGGACUGAAUGUGCUUAACAGACGGGGAUGCACACCUUGUACUCAUGUUUAUGGCUCUGAAAUGCUCAAGCCCAAACCAUUAGAAAAAGGGUUUGUGUAUUUAGCCUGUCUCUGGGGAACAGAGUACAGGAAAGGAAAGGCAAAACCUGCCAGAUAUUGAAGGCCUUUCCUUAUAAACUCAGGGCUAUUUUUAGUUUUCUAAUGUAAAAAGUCAGUGAGAUGAAGAGUGAAGUGAUCCGUUUCCAGCAGAAUAAAUGCCUGAAUCUUCAUUAAUAAUUCCUCAUAGAUGGCUGUGUGCCUUUAUCUGACAGACUGACAAGCCACGCUAAACAACAGUUACUGCACAAAUGGAAAAGAUAUCAUCUCCCUACCCAGCCUCGUGGUGCUCCCAUUGUCAUGUUACAUUAGGACCGGAGUCUCCACCUUCCCACAGAGACGUGGCGGCAGGCUUAUUUUAUUAGGACUUGCACAAACGUGCUUAUGAUGGAUGAAGUUUAGUGCUUUGACACGGAAAUGUAUUUGGAAACUGGAGCUGAUGCAUGAUACGAAGAAGGGGAGGGAAGAGAAAAAACAAGAACCCAAAUGCAUAAUCUUACCCUCGAUCUGCCUGUCAGUGAUAAUUAGAAAGGGCCUCUAUCAAAAUCUUAGCUGCAAGCUGCUCAGAGGAUGGGAUUUCAUAGUUCCCAGCUACAUGCCCAAGCUGUCUUUUACAAGGCUGGGUUAGUGGAAGUCAGCGACAGAAGGUCUAUUCCUGGCCUCGAUUGCCUUGUAAAACAGGCGCCUGCUCCUUACAGUAGCUCUCCUCACCUAUGAGGCAGUGGAAAGGAAGACACUUGCCUUCUGCCACACCCUCACAUCUGAGGGCAGAACAAGUUGGUUCGUCUACAUGGUGCUGAAACCAAGCCAAAACCUGUCCAGCCUUUGGACCGGUUCAGACUGGGGUCCCCACUCGAGGGGCUGAGUCCAUCCCAGCUGCUGGGGGAAGCGGCGUGAGCUCAUCUGCAGCACCCAUCUGUGACAGCGACUCUGCAGGGGAAAGGACUUUACAAGCUGCUGCUCUGGGCCAACUUUGAAAUGACAAACACACCCUCUGCUACUGGACUGUUUACUUUCCUCCCUCUUCCCGAUGUUAUCGGUAUUUCCUAAACCCUGCCUGUCAGGCAUGCUUUGUUAAUAACCCUCCAGUACUUUCAGAGCAAAGGUUGCCCAACAGCUUUCUCAUCUUCCUGCUGGCUGUCAGGAGAGGAAAUCACAGCUUUCAGGAGAACCUGACACAGAGGGAACUGGAUAGCACGCUGGGGUCAAGGGUAAGAAUGCACGAAGAAGUGAGAAAGCGCAGGCACCCCGACCGGCUGCACAGGAAGAGCUUUGCCUCUGCUUUCCCUUGUUUACUAUGUCAGGAUGUUCCAGGAAGAAACUCAGCAGGCUUCACCUCUGAAACAGCCAGCCAAGCACAAAUCCCCGCUCACAAUGCGGCACGAGGGAGCCAAAGGACAGCUAACAAACUUGGCCCAAGCUUGUGACAUGACUUAGGUCUUUCCUCUUAAACAAAGGGGUCUGAAAGUGCUGUAGACAACACUGCCAUCGCUUCACACAGCUGUUACCUUCCUUCUCAACUUUACUGCCAUCUCUGAGAUGUCCCAGUCAAAGCUGAGGCACUGAUGUGCCAGCAGAAUGCAUUUACAUCCACCUACCUCAGCGAAGGAGCCUUUGAGGGCUAAGAGGCCCUUCCUGAGACUACCAGUCAGAGGAAGAAAAAAUGAAGCAAGGUUUGGAAAGGAAAUUGCUUUAAGAUGUGCUUCUGCAUGAAACACAUAGUGAGACUCUCUGGUCAACCAGCUUGUCCGCAGGUACAUUCAGGUCACAUCUACCAAGGUGGGACAAACAAGGAGACCAAGGAUCAAACAUUCACCAGGGCUGGAGCUGGCUGAAAUAAGAAGGGCCUCUAACCACACUGCGUUCAGAAGUCUCAGCAAGGGGCAUAAUGGACUCUCCAUCGAUGGAAGAUGCUAAACCAAGAGUGGGCACCUUCCUAGCUCCAUCAGAAAUACCAACCUGCUGAGCUGCUGUGAGGGACCUGUGUUCGGAGGGAGACUGGGCCCGAUGCCACGACUCCCUUUUCUCUGGAAAAUCUGGGUCCCCAGUCUCUUUUGAUAUCUUCUGGCAGUAGGAGCCCAUUCAUGUCUCCCCCACACACUGCUUCAAUCAGCUCUAAUUAGGCAGACUGUGUCUGAGCAUAAAUGAGAUCCCCAGUCACAUCCCUUUUAAAAUACAACCAUCUCACAUUUUGUGAGUCAAAUGGAGUUUUGCUGGAGAAUUAAAAGGAGCGCUGCAGUGCAGCAUUGAGUGAUUCACAGGAUAAAGUUUCCAUGCGCUGCUCAAGAAAACCAGAUAGAAUUGAGCUUGAAGGAGUGAGGAAUGGCUGUGUUUCAAAUUACCUCAGUUCAGAUUUAAUAAAAAUUCUCAAAACAGAAAACUGGAAGUCAUUACAAAAAUCGUGCUUUUCCCUCAUGAAGAUUUUUAUAAAAGUGACAAGGCGAAGAAAGGGUUGAUAAUGGUUAUCUGUUGUAAAAGUUUAUAAUGUACUUGCUGGGGAAAGAAAACAAAAGAGCAUUCUUCAACAAAUAACUGAAUCCCACAGGAAAAACUAGGAAAAACCAAAACAAAACAAAUACAUGCAAACAAAAAAACAGGAAAAGCAGACCCAAAACAGUUUUCUCAGAACACAAUUUUCUGCUGGAAGGUGGAUAUAAUUAUCUGUCAUAACAAAUUACAACGUUAUGUUGUAACAUUUAGUUAUGAGCAAGAAAAAAAAAAAAGCACCUGUAAUCUCAAUAGCUAUUAUGUAAAGCAUCUGUACACAACUGGAAUGUCACCCACUUGACCUAACUAAUACCUACCACCGCUUAGGAUUGUCCUUAUUGCCCGAGUCCAGAGCAGCUCAGCAGUACUUCAGUACUUCACUGAGUAGGAACUGAGGCACAGACAGCAGCAAUGGCUUCAGCAGCACCGCAGAGGCACACAGCACCCCCCAAUCCUGAGUAUGCGCUGGGCCAUGGCAGACCACUGGGCAGAGAUGGCAAAAAGUAAACUGUGAAUGUGAAGUGGAAACCCCUUACCUUCACAUAUUUUAAGUUGCUUGGCUCACAUAAAUUUGACAUUGUUUUGUUUUCCCAUUAUUGGGAAAAAUAGGGAAGGGAAAAAUAGGGAAAAGGGAAAAAGGAGAGGGAAGAAGCCAUUCAGCCUUUGGGAUCCACCUGAGCACCAGACAGAAGCCUCUCAGGGACUCGAAACAUUGAGUGAUUUUGAUCUUCCUGUUAAUUGUUUCAAAUUUGUUUUUCAGAUAGCACAAGAAAGCCAAGGCAGUACCCAGGGGAGAGGCUGGCAGCUGUUCAAAGACCAGCCUCUGGAAUAUCUGACAAUGUUGAGCACAAGUGUCCAGGAAAAAGAAAAAUAAGCAGGCACAGGGAGAAGUCUAUGGAGAAGCAAGCUACAAAGUAAUCAGCCACCCCAUAUACUGAGCACACUUUCCAAGAGCAUUCACAACCUUUGCCUUAACUGCUGUCCUUACCUUCCCUGCACAACGAUGGCUUCAACUGUUAGAAGCCAGCUGCAUUUCCUAUACCCCAAGUCAAGGCUGGCGCAUGCAGGAGCAAGUAUCUACAGAUUGAGACAAAAAUCAAAACCAAAAAAUAUUGUCCGUCUGCAAACUAAUUAGAAAUAUACACAGCUGAUCAGGGUGGUAAGACAAGCCAAAAGAGCAACUGAGAGGAAGAAAUAAAUAAAUGUGUGAUGUACUUAAGAGGAAAUGAAUGCCAUAGGAAAAAAGCAAGCUUCAGUUACAGGAGCAGGGAUUGCUACCCUUUCAAUUUCAAAAUGUUCUUUAAAUUGCCAUUAUUCUGGAGAAACUUUUCUAGCGAAUAGCUGGCUUGGCUUUGAAAAUAUCAUUAAACUUAACUCAAGAUUCCAAGAAAAUAUAAAGGGUUAAACAUACAAGGUAGGUAAUUAAAUGCCAAACCAUUCCCCGUGAAUUAAAGAAGCCUACCAGAUCAUAAUGGUGCAGAACCAGGGUCCUGAAGGUGAAGCUCAGCUGUAGGCCCUCCUGCACCCUGUCCUCAAGCCACUGAUUACAGAUACAGGAGGGAGGUACCUGGGCAGAGGCUACUCUGCACUCUCAGGUUUUCUCUUCUUCUUUGCUAAUAACUCUCAAAGUCCAGACCAUGGUACUGACCAGUUUUGGUGAACUGCAGUUGAGUGACUAGAAGGAUGAAUAAUGUCUCAGUAUUAAGACAAAUGCAGGAUAAAAACAAGCAAACAAAAAAGUUUGGAUUAUGGACACUUGUGUUUUACAUGGAACGCAAUAUUUAAACAAAUAUAUAGCAAUGGAAGGAGCUCUGGAGAUGUACAAGGGAGAAAUAGGCCUGCUUAGGCCACAGGAGAAGUACUUCUCCCUCCAAAUUUCUCCGAAUGAGCACCAGCAAGAUACUUUUAGUCAAGGAUCUUUCUACCACUGCUCAUGGAAAAGAGUAAGUUCAGUAGCUGCCUAUGAUAAAACGGACAUUACAAAAAAUACAGAAGAACCGCACCCUAAAAGUUCCAAAUCAAAUUUUGGGACUUUGCAUGAAUUACUUGCAGAAUGUAACUGAUCUUGGUGGGUUUAGUCUUCCUUCUAGUCAUUAAGUCAUGGAGUACACAGAACAUACUUUGUGUCCUCUAUUAUUCACAAAGCUGUUUUGUACAAAGCCCGUUUCUGCCUAUAAACUCACGGUCAACUGCCUCAGUUACCUCUUGCAAAUUCACUGCUUUUGUGGUGUCACUGAAAUCACACAGCACUGGUUUUCACUUUGAUGAAGUGACCACCAAACUCUAAAGCAUUUAAACAAUGCCCUCGGGAGGCUACAGAACUGGAACUUGGACAGAUCAUCGUAAGGUCAGAUCUUCCCUGUCUCUGGGUUAACAGCAAGCACAUUCAGAGAAGCUGCAAAUACCCCAGAGAAUUGUCUUUUCCCUACAGUGACAGCUCCUCAUGAUAUUACUCUGUGAUAAUCUUCUACUAAGAUCCAGAAUCAGGAGCUCUUCUUUGCAUGUAUGUAACCACACACAGCCCCCAAUACAAAACACUGACAGUGAAACUACGCAGCCUCAACAAGGUAGCAGAAAGCUGUGUGACUUCAGCCUAUAAAGGCAAGCACGUAGGUAUCACGACUUGCUGACACAGGAACUGAAUUUGUAUCUCCUGUUUCUCUCCCCUCACACCCACAAAAUCUCUCCUAACCACAUGACAGAAUCUCUUUCAACUGCAUUUAAAGACCACUCAACAGGCAGAAGUGAUUUCAACUCAUCUACUGCUGGUAUGUGUGACAACUUCUUUCCUUCCAGAGGCAGAGGCUGUAAGUUGGGAGGAACACAGGUACCAAGCAGGAGCACACCAUCCAAACCAAGCAAAGCCAGCUAAUUAGCGUAACAACAAACAGGAGGAAAGGCUCAAGAAAGGGAGACUACAGAAAUGAGCAGAAAAGCAGCACUUAACCAAAUGGAGCCAUGUAAGAGUCAGGGUCUAGGUCAGCCAGUUCUAUGGAAUAAUUUCAAGAAUGCACAAAAAAUAGAAAAAUUAGUCUUUGGCAGUGUGUAGCAUGCUCCCCUUUUAGAUCAAGAAUCUACACAGAGAGCAACCCCUCAAGAGAAAAGGGCUGAAGCAUCAUUCCCAGAAGAGAAUACAGAAGCCACAUUGCCCAGGAUCUUCCUAAAUAUCUUGUGAGGAAAAGGCUGUUCCUGGUGAGGGCGGAGAUCUUUGUGCAAAACUGAGGGACAGAUGCGAGGAGGCUCUCAAGCAGGUUGUCCAGCAGGAAGGAUGUUUGUUCUUCUGGGGAGAAAUCAACACAAACUCCUUUGCUAAACUAGCCUUAUGCUUAUCACCUCCACAUAACAAUCCAGAUUGUAGAGGAUAAAAUAACUCCAAACUGCUGAUGGCUGGCAAACACUGUCCCUUUAACAGCCAAAAAAAAAAAAAGCCAGAGUAAGAGUCCCUCCUGCCUCUCACACCCAGGAUAGGCUCUCAAAUAAAAGUGCUAUUUGUACCAGAAUCCAAGGAUAGCAACAAGUCUCUUCCUAAAUUACACAAAAACCUUUUUUUUUUUUUUUUUUUUUCCUCCCAGCUACCCACUCCUUUCCUCUUCCUCCUUUUUACGUGCUUCAGUGGGCCCCACAGGUUAACAGUCUCCAGCUGUGUCCACUCACCAGACACUUAUCCCUCAGCUGUCCGCUCCCAGCUCUGCAGACCUGACACAAAGUGGAGUUUUGGCCUUGGCUCAGAUGUUGCACUGAUAAGGACCAUGGAAAUACCUUCAGUUAAAAUAAACAAUAUUACAUCAGCCUCUUCCAUUUUAGGAUACCCAAGUCACCAAAGCAUAAGCUCUAGCCUCUGUCUUACCUCCCUGCCUCACUGGCCUUUUAGAAAUCAGAAAACACCGUGUUUACAGCCUUUCUGGAGAGGGAUUCUGUGAGUGUGCAGCAGCAGCAGCAAGCACUUGUGGAUCUUAAAACGCAAAUUGCCACACAAACCAGCUGGCUGUGCGUGAUCUUCACCAAAAUGGUGAACAACACCUGAGGACCUCAUCCUGGAAAGUACAUGUUUAUCUAAAAUUUAGCCCUUUCUCCUCUGCUGGAGAGAGCCUAUUCACUGUUGUGCUUCUCAACGUGCAGCUCAGAAGGCAGAAAGGUAAGAGCAGUCAGCAGUACGGGAAGCCUGCAUUGGGCUCUCUGGACAAGGCACUGACCAAGCCUUUUUUUUUUUUUCUCUUGUUGGAAUGAGGAUGAAUUUUUCCUGCUAAUUCCUGAAAAGGAUCCCACCAGUCCUCAGGCCAAAAAGAAGUGAAGAAAAGUCCCAGUGAAGGAAAGCCCCAAGGGUAGGAACCACUUCUGGUUGCAAAGCUGACAGCACUUUCGCUCUUGGGGAAGCUGAGAAAUGUGCCAAGAACCUGGAAGGCUCCACGUUUCAGCAAAGACUGAAGAAUAGCAAGAAAAAGGAAGUUAGAAGGUGACAGGGUGCUUUAAAACUUAUAUUGAGGUGCACAGUUGUUGUAAACUGUUUUUUCUAAACCUUGCAAAGCCUCAUGUUACUACAUCUCUGCUUUCUGUAGUUCCCUCAUCAAGCAGUGUUUUGGGCUGUGUUUCUUUAUAUUCUGUUUGCUCAUGCAGAUGUCUGAUUUGGGGCAAAAUCCUGCUGUUCUGCCUGUUUCUCCUUUUCAUCAUGUCCCGUGAGUUGCUCCUACAUAGUUUAUAUGGAGUAGACAUAUGAAGCUGCCUUUCCAAAGCAGCAUAAACCUUCCCUUCCGAAGUGCUCAGACAAGGUAUGUUUUACAGCUUCCCCCCGACACAUGACUGCCAUUUGGUUUGAGUCUGCUUACACUAAUCACCCAGGCAUGUCUCAGUGAGUACAAGCAUAACAAAGUGGCAGUCAGUAACAUGAAUACAUUGAAAAUGAAUAUAUUGCACUUAUGAAAGUAAAUAUUGAGCAACUUGAAACUUAAACAUAGUCCAGAAGGCUCUGCUACAAACACCCCUCAGAUCACGCCUCUGAGAAAGUCACCAAAGUCAGAAGCAACUGCAGAGCUGCAAAGCUUUAUAUACAGUUUUUCUUGACACGACGCCAGGAGAGGGUCCGUUUGCAAAUCACUGAUGUAAACUAGGAUUUCUGGUAACUCCAAAAUAGGCCAGCGUUACAAUGCGUAGUUUCAUCUCCUCUUUAAGUGCGACAAACCUUUGUGGGAGCUGUUGCUCUUCUACAAGUUACUUGUCGCUGUCCACAGCAAUUGCCUUCCCCACACUUUCUCUGGAGAAAAAGUUCAUCGCUGGGACUGUAUCUGCUUUUAUUCUGAAGGUUAAUAACUAUUUUCUUUGCAAGAAAGCAACUGUCUUGCCAUUUUAUUAUUAUUAAUUUUUUUUGGCCGUAAUCCUAAAUGGAAUAAAGGCAAGAGUUUUCAUAUACUAGAUAUUUGAAGGCUUUGAAGAUUUCACUUCACAGAACAAGUAAUUUUAGAGUUUCUGACAGAUGGAUUUUCUGUGGUCUGAGGAAGAAAGGGCAGAGAGGCAGCAGCAAAGGGUACCAUGCUUAGAGAGAUAUCCAGUUGUGCUGAUGAAGCACGUAUAGCGAAAGGGAGAAAUGCUGGCUAGGGUAGGGCUAAUUCAGUAGGAAGAGAUCAACACCAUGGGCAGCAUGCCAAGAAGCAACAAUAAGGGAUACGUGUCUGGCUGCAAAAUGGAACUUGGGAAAUACAUUUUCCUAGCAUUGCUAAGUAGGUGUUAAUUCAUUAAGAGAGUCUACAUCAAAAGAUGCUACUGCUUGUUAUGGUAUUACAGCUAAAGGAUUGUCAUUUCAGCUCCCUGUUUUUGCAAUUUUUGCACAUUCAGUCCCUCCAAUCCAACAAAAGAUCAGAAAAAACAAUGAAGGAUUGAUUGUAAGGUUGGGUUGACAAUGGGUAAAAGGUUGACAAGUAAUUGGUGGGAAAAGCAUCGACAAAUAAUGGCUGUGCACGUGCAAACAGUCUCAGUGUCUGUCAGUAUGACGGACAGACACCUUCUACCACAGAAGUAGGAUGGUUAGCCUAACGUUCAGUGGGCAGUCUGCUUCUAAACAGCAGGGACAGCCAAAUGUAGAUCUGGUUUGGAAAAUAAAUUUACCAAAAGUGAAGAUGCAGAGAUGUCCUGUCUUAAAGGAACAUAUAAGCCAUGAAAUCCCCUUCUUUGUUUAGGAAGUUUAGGAAGACUCCAAACAGAUCCUAAAUUCAGCAGAGCUUUGAGUCCUCGCAAAAAUACCAUCAAUAAUAAAAAAAAUUCUGAAGUUAAGGAAAAGCUGCUUGCUGAAUUUGUUUCUUGAUGAAUUUUCUUGCUACCUCAAUAGCUUUUUUAAUUAAAUAAAAAGCAUUAAUUCUCCCCUGUCCAUUCCAGCUGUGCAAGAGAUGGAAUGCAAACAAGCGCGAGCAGGGAAGAAGCGACGCUUUCACAGAACAACACCGGCACGCCUGCUAUGGCUGAGCUGACUGCUGCUGCUCCUGCUGUUAUUCCCCAAAAUACCAUUUUGAAGAGGCAGGUUUUUUGUAAGAAUGUGGUGGUCUCUCCCACCCCAGGUGAAGUUAUCAGUAAGUUAGGCAGUAGCACAUGGGAAAAGAAAAGGCUUCAGAUAUCUAAAAAAAAUCAGAGUAACUAUUAUUCUUUCAAGGUAAAAAUAGCCAUGUUAGGCUGUACCCAUCCCACUUGCCUUUUGAUAUCUCAGCUGUAAUCAGAGAAGCAGGACCCUCUGCCAAAGUCUCCGGUAUCUGGGGGAAUGAUCAUUCAAGGUGACAAAAACUUAGUCCUGACCAAGUCAGGUGUCAGAAGGUGAAAGGCUGCAUCCAUUAACAAUGUGAGUUCUUAUCUGCACUGUCAUCCUUAACCACAGGGAGACGUGGUCAGACCUCCCUUCCAUCGGCACCUCAGCCAAUCUUGCUGAAUUAUGUCUUCUGAAGUUUGAAAGCUUUUGUCUGCAGAGGCUUGACCCUCCACUAACAGCUGAAAGCUGGGUUUGAAAAAAAUCGAGCCUUAAAAUUCCAACUGGAAAGUGAAUGUGAGCUUUUUACCUUGUCGUUUCACAGUCAAAGCACACGGCAUUCAAAGAAAAAGCCAGAAAGAUGGGAGGCAUGCAAGGGAUGAAGAGAGAAGAGUUUUCCCUUUUUUUAAAUGAAGUAAUUAGCUUAGUAAGUACAGGAGGAGGAGAGAAAAGAAAGGGAGAUCCUUUUGUUAAGCAUUUAUAAUACGAUCCUCUCUCCUGCCAGGUGUGCUUGCAAGAUGUUACCAGAUUGCAUGCACUGAUGAAGGCAAGGAGCAGGGCACCACUAAAUUAUCUCCAAAGGCACCCAUCUGGGGAAUCCUCGUUUCUAAAAGCAGAAGAUGUUCUGUCUGCAUGCAGUGCAUUUUUUUCAGGGGCUGGCAGUCACAGUGGACACCACCGGCUUUCCUGUAGCAAACAUGGUUUUAAAUAAUGGAUGGAAACCUUUGGUUACAACGGGCAGUUUCCCAGGCUUUUACAGCUGUUAUGAUUAGCACUUUGAUUAGGAUGGGACAAGGACUGGGGAGCUGGCAAGCACUGAAACAAACCAAAAGCCCUGAAGAUAUUGAAGUUCCCAUGAAGUAGUUCUCUGCGUGUUGGAUAAUCUUUAGCCAAACAAAUCUUCUAUACAAUAAAACUUCAAUGUAUUCAGCGAAUGCUCAGAA
This is a non-coding RNA of Anas platyrhynchos (mallard), 14023 nucleotides long. Lineage: Eukaryota; Metazoa; Chordata; Aves; Anseriformes; Anatidae. The record is from RefSeq and is a predicted model, not a curated record.